This 77-nucleotide transfer RNA is filed under the name Nelumbo nucifera (sacred lotus). It matches the Rfam family "tRNA". From Rfam's summary of the family: Transfer RNA (tRNA) molecules are approximately 80 nucleotides in length. Lineage: Eukaryota; Viridiplantae; Streptophyta; Magnoliopsida; Proteales; Nelumbonaceae. The record is from Rfam by way of RNAcentral.
GUUCGCGUGGCCUAAUGGAUAAGGCGCUCGCCUCCGGAGCGGGAGAUUGAUUGUGGGUUCGAGUCCCACCGUGAACG